This 66-nucleotide transfer RNA is filed under the name Aenigmachanna gollum. RNAcentral describes it as "tRNA-Cys". The record is from RNAcentral. Lineage: Eukaryota; Metazoa; Chordata; Actinopteri; Anabantiformes; Aenigmachannidae.
AGCUCUGAGGUGUUUUACAUACCGGAUUGCAAAUCCAGAGAAGCAGGUUAGUGUCUGCCGGGGCUU